RNAcentral lists this ribosomal RNA (254 nucleotides) under uncultured bacterium. RNAcentral's name for it is "partial 16S ribosomal RNA". It matches the Rfam family "Bacterial small subunit ribosomal RNA", at positions 524 to 776 of the family's 1533-position model. The record is from RNAcentral.
UACGUAGGGAGCGAGCGUUGUCCGGAUUCAUUGGGCGUAAAGAGCUCGUAGGCGGCUUGGUAAGUCGGAUGUGAAACCUCCAGGCUCAACCUGGAGUCGCCAUCCGAUACUGCCAUGGCUAGAGUCCGGUAGGGGCCCACGGAAUUCCUGGUGUAGCGGUGAAAUGCGCAGAUAUCAGGAGGAACACCGAUGGCGAAGGCAGUGGGCUGGGCCGUUGCUGACGCUGAGGCGCGAAAGCGUGGGGAGCAAACAGG